AUGAGAUGAAACUGUCAAAAUGUCUCGUUAACCAGAAAUUCGGUUUCAUAUCUUUUGAUUAUGAGUGAGACUUUCCUGUCCUAGUUUCAAGUACUGGUGUACUCCUGUCUCCUUAGUAGGUGUUGCUGACAAAUGAUAUUGUUGUAACAACUGUAGGGAGUUCUGCCAAUCUAACCUGCCGAGCUUUCUUUGGAUACAGUGGUGAUGUCAGUCCUUUAAUCUACUGGAUGAAAGGGGAGAAAUUUAUUGAAGAUUUGGAUGAUAGUCGAGUCUGGGAAAGUGAUAUCAGAGAACAGAAAAAUACAGCAAGAUCUGAUGCAAAGAGAGCUACAAAAGCAGAAUGGCUGCCCAGCUAGUGUCAUGAUGACUUUUCCAAACUCUGGAAAACAACAGAAACCAGUAGCACUAAGUUACUAAACAUUACCAUUAGUUACUAAGAAAAAAUAAAGAAAAGUAAAUAUACCAAGAAAAGUAGGUCAAAAUAAGUCUUUUAAAAUGCAGGCUGUUAAAUGCUGAAGUCUGUCUUCUCUUUCUGAAUGUUUUGACUUUUCCUCUUCAAAGAAAGAACUGAGUUUCCUGGGAUGUUAUUUGGCCUGUGAGAUCCAAGCCUCCUGUUACGUGGGCUGGUUAUAGCUGCUGAAAUAUUUGUUAUAGAAAGGAUCUGGUGAUUCACGUCAUGUACUUUUCCUGUUUCUAAAAGUGUUAUCUCAUUUGGAAAUUGAGGAAAAAAAACAAACUGAGUUUGUAUUGUGAAUAACAUACUUGACAUAGCUUUCCAACUCCAUUAUAAAGUAACUACUUGGAUCUAAAAAGAUUCUUUGUUCAUUUAUCAUUCUGUGCGUGUAUAUGACUAUGUUUGUAUAUCACGGAUAAACCCAGAAAUGUUGGUAAA
Molecule: long non-coding RNA, 892 nt
Organism: Numida meleagris (helmeted guineafowl)
Lineage: Eukaryota; Metazoa; Chordata; Aves; Galliformes; Numididae
Exons: 3
Source: RefSeq, a predicted model, not a curated record